Molecule: transfer RNA, 76 nt
Filed under: Lysinibacter sp. HNR
Lineage: Bacteria; Bacillati; Actinomycetota; Actinomycetes; Micrococcales; Microbacteriaceae
Description: Frondihabitans sp. HNR tRNA-His
Rfam family: tRNA
About the family: Transfer RNA (tRNA) molecules are approximately 80 nucleotides in length. Their secondary structure includes four short double-helical elements and three loops (D, anti-codon, and T loops).
Source: RNAcentral
GUGGCUAUAGCUCAGUUGGUAGAGCGCUGGCUUGUGGUGCCGGAAGUCGCGGGUUCAAGCCCCGUUAGCCACCCCA